AGUGAACGCUGGCGGUAGGCCUAACACAUGCAAGUCGAACGGCAGCACAGUAAGAGCUUGCUCUUACGGGUGGCGAGUGGCGGACGGGUGAGGAAUACAUCGGAAUCUACUUUUUCGUGGGGGAUAACGUAGGGAAACUUACGCUAAUACCGCAUACGACCUACGGGUGAAAGCAGGGGAUCUUCGGACCUUGCGCGAUUGAAUGAGCCGAUGUCGGAUUAGCUAGUUGGCGGGGUAAAGGCCCACCAAGGCGACGAUCCGUAUCUGGUCUGAGAGGAUGAUCAGCCACACUGGAACUGAGACACGGUCCAGACUCCUACGGGAGGCAGCAGUGGGGAAUAUUGGACAAUGGGCGCAAGCCUGAUCCAGCCAUACCGCGUGGGUGAAGAAGGAGUUCGGGUUGUAAAGCCAUUUUGUUGUGAGAGAAAAGCAGCAGGUUAAUACCCCGCUGUUCUGACGGUACCGAAAGAAUAAGCACCGGCUAACUUCGUG
RNAcentral lists this ribosomal RNA (492 nucleotides) under uncultured bacterium. RNAcentral describes it as "partial 16S ribosomal RNA". It matches the Rfam family "Bacterial small subunit ribosomal RNA", at positions 29 to 507 of the family's 1533-position model. The record is from RNAcentral.